RNAcentral lists this ribosomal RNA (465 nucleotides) under uncultured bacterium. Its description in RNAcentral is "partial 16S ribosomal RNA". It matches the Rfam family "Bacterial small subunit ribosomal RNA", at positions 28 to 507 of the family's 1533-position model. The record is from RNAcentral.
GACGAACGCUGGCGGCGUGCUUAACACAUGCAAGUCGUACGGUAAGGCCCUUUCGGGGGUACACGAGUGGCGAACGGGUGAGUAACACGUGAGUAACCUGCCCACAACUUUGGGAUAACGCUAGGAAACUGGUGCUAAUACUGGAUAUGUGCUCCUGCUGCAUGGUGGGGGUUGGAAAGCUCCGGCGGUUGUGGAUGGACUCGCGGCCUAUCAGCUUGUUGGUGGGGUAGUGGCCUACCAAGGCGGCGACGGGUAGCCGGCCUGAGGGGGUGACCGGCCACAUUGGGAAUGGGAUACGGCCCAGACUCCUACGGGAGGCAGCAGCGGGGAAUAUUGCACAAUGGGCGCAAGCCUGAUGCAGCAACGCCGCGUGCGGGAUGACGGCCUUCGGGUUGGAAACCGCUUUCAGCAGGGACGAAGCUUUUUGUGACGGUACCUGCAGAAGAAGCACCGGCUAACUACGUG